CCUACGGGGGGCAGCAGUGAGGAAUAUUGGUCAAUGGACGAGAGUCUGAACCAGCCAAGUAGCGUGAAGGAUGACUGCCCUAUGGGUUGUAAACUUCUUUUAUAUGGGAAUAAAAUGUUCCACGUGUGGGAUUUUGUAUGUACCAUAUGAAUAAGGAUCGGCUAACUCCGGGCCAGCAGCCGCGGUAAUACGGAGGAUCCGAGCGUUAUCCGGAUUUAUUGGGUUUAAAGGGAGCGUAGGUGGAUUGUUAAGUCAGUUGUGAAAGUUUGCGGCUCAACCGUAAAAUUGCAGUUGAAACUGGCAGUCUUGAGUACAGUAGAGGUGGGCGGAAUUCGUGGUGUAGCGGUGAAAUGCUUAGAUAUCACGAAGAACUCCGAUUGCGAAGGCAGUUCACUGGACUGCAACUGACACUGAGGCUCGAAAGUGUGGGUAUCAAACAGGAUUAGAUACCCGAGUAGUC
RNAcentral lists this ribosomal RNA (460 nucleotides) under uncultured bacterium. RNAcentral's name for it is "partial 16S ribosomal RNA". It matches the Rfam family "Bacterial small subunit ribosomal RNA", at positions 338 to 795 of the family's 1533-position model. The record is from RNAcentral.